UUGAGUUACUGAACUCCAAACCACUGUGAACUUACCACUGUUGCUUCGGCUGUUUCUGUAGUCUUGAGACCUCAGAUCUAGCCGAAGGUAAUUAAACUCUUGUUUCUGAUAGUAUCUUCUGAGUAUGGUACGCAAAUAAAUCA
This 143-nucleotide unclassified non-coding RNA is filed under the name uncultured Ascomycota. RNAcentral's name for it is "sequence contains ITS1". Lineage: Eukaryota; Fungi; Ascomycota. The record is from RNAcentral.